This 301-nucleotide ribosomal RNA is filed under the name uncultured bacterium. RNAcentral's name for it is "partial 16S ribosomal RNA". It matches the Rfam family "Bacterial small subunit ribosomal RNA", at positions 509 to 807 of the family's 1533-position model. The record is from RNAcentral.
CAGCCGCCGCGGUAACACAGAGGGUGCAAGCGUUAAUCGGAAUUACUGGGCGUAAAGCGCGCGUAGGUGGUUUGUUAAGUUGGAUGUGAAAGCCCCGGGCUCAACCUGGGAACUGCAUCCAAAACUGGCAAGCUAGAGUACGGUAGAGGGUGGUGGAAUUUCCUGUGUAGCGGUGAAAUGCGUAGAUAUAGGAAGGAACACCAGUGGCGAAGGCGACCACCUGGACUGAUACUGACACUGAGGUGCGAAAGCGUGGGGAGCAAACAGGAUUAGAUACCCCUGUAGUCCCUGUCUCUUAUAC